UUGCUUCAGCAGCACAUAUACUGAAAUCGGAAUGACAGAGAAGAUUAGCACGGCCCCUGCACAGGGAUGACACACAAAACUCGUGAAGUGUUCCAUAUUUUU
Otolemur garnettii (small-eared galago) is the source of this 102-nucleotide non-coding RNA. The record is from Rfam. NCBI's taxonomy places the organism in Eukaryota, Metazoa, Chordata, Mammalia, Primates, Galagidae.